RNAcentral lists this ribosomal RNA (465 nucleotides) under uncultured bacterium. RNAcentral describes it as "bacterial SSU rRNA". It matches the Rfam family "Bacterial small subunit ribosomal RNA", at positions 329 to 792 of the family's 1533-position model. The record is from RNAcentral.
UGCCAGACUCCUACGGGAGGCAGCAGUGAGGAAUAUUGGUCAAUGGGCGCGAGCCUGAACCAGCCAAGUCGCGUGAGGGAAGACGGUCCUAUGGAUUGUAAACCUCUUUUGUCGGGGAGCAAAAGACGCCACGCGUGGCGUUCCGAGAGUACCCGAAGAAAAAGCAUCGGCUAACUCCGUGCCAGCAGCCGCGGUAAUACGGAGGAUGCGAGCGUUAUCCGGAUUUAUUGGGUUUAAAGGGUGCGUAGGCGGUCCGUUAGGUCAGCGGUAAAAUGGCGGGGCCAAACCCCGUCGAGCCGUUGAAACUGGCAGACUUGAGUUGGCGAGAAGUACGCGGAAUGCGUGGUGUAGCGGUGAAAUGCAUAGAUAUCACGCAGAACUCCGAUUGCGAAGGCAGCAUACCGGCGCGCAACUGACGCUCAUGCACGAAAGCGUGGGUAUCGAACAGGAUUAGAUACCCGUGUA